UUAGUUUGUAGGUGUGAACAGUUCACCAUACAGAAUGGGUUGGAAGGGUGCUGGAGAGGAUGCUGGGAGUUGAACCCCAAUUGCUUCCCUGUGGGCUGGGGGGAGGCAUGGGGACAGCAGAGAGCAGGGAAGUUACAACUGGUCCCAGUCCUGGGUUUUCUUUCUCUUUCUGUUUCAGACAUGUCCUUCGAUAACUCCCUGUUUACCAUCUCCCCGAAAAUGACGCCAGAAGACCCAGCCAGCUUGGAUGAUCACUCAGGGACCACCGCCACCCCCGGCAACUCCAGGACCCGGAAGAGGCCCACUUCCACAUCCUCCUCACCUGAGCCCCCGGAGUUCAGCACUUUCCGGGCCUGCCAGUGAGGCUGAGGACUGGGGGCUCUGUCUCCAGGCAUUCGGGGCCUGAGGUCCCUCCAGCCACUUCUGGGGUGGAGAGGGGGCUCUGUUGGCUGCUUUCUCAGGGAAUUGGACAGGAAAUGAAGGGGAACCCUGGCCUUAGGGUUUUCAUCACAGAGGAGUGGGAGAGAGGGCAAAGGCAUGGGCCUGGCACUGGAGAGGCAACAGGAAGUUCCCCUCUCGACCUUCAGCUCCUCAGGACCACCAGAGAAGGAGAUGUCAGGACCCCUUCUGGUCCCCCAUCUGGGACGUAAGGGGUCGCAGGUCUCUGCACACCCCUGGAGUUCCUCCCUUCCCCGCUGGGUUUUUGAGCAUAGGGUGCCCUUGGGUGUGUUGAGUGUGUCUGCCUGCUGGCUUACCUAAGUUAUUAAUUAUAACACGUGUCAAGGUGUUC
This is a long non-coding RNA of Cebus imitator (Panamanian white-faced capuchin), 790 nucleotides long. RefSeq lists it as uncharacterized. The record is from RefSeq and is a predicted model, not a curated record. Lineage: Eukaryota; Metazoa; Chordata; Mammalia; Primates; Cebidae. The transcript has 2 exons.